GACGAACGCUGGCGGCGUGCCUAAUACAUGCAAGUAGAACGCUGAAGAGAGGAGCUUGCUCUUCUUGGAUGAGUUGCGAACGGGUGAGUAACGCGUAGGUAACCUGCCUUGUAGCGGGGGAUAACUAUUGGAAACGAUAGCUAAUACCGCAUAACAAUGGAUGACACAUGUCAUUUAUUUGAAAGGGGCAAUUGCUCCACUACAAGAUGGACCUGCGUUGUAUUAGCUAGUAGGUGAGGUAAUGGCUCACCUAGGCGACGAUACAUAGCCGACCUGAGAGGGUGAUCGGCCACACUGGGACUGAGACACGGCCCAGACUCCUACGGGAGGCAGCAGUAGGGAAUCUUCGGCAAUGGGGGCAACCCUGACCGAGCAACGCCGCGUGAGUGAAGAAGGUUUUCGGAUCGAAAAGCUCUGUUGUAAGUCAAGAACGGGUGUGAGAGUGGAAAGUUCACACUGUGACGGUAGCUUACCAGAAAGGGACGGCUAACUACGUG
Molecule: ribosomal RNA, 497 nt
Filed under: uncultured bacterium
Lineage: Bacteria
Description: partial 16S ribosomal RNA
Rfam family: Bacterial small subunit ribosomal RNA
Source: RNAcentral